RNAcentral lists this long non-coding RNA (554 nucleotides) under Anas platyrhynchos platyrhynchos (common mallard). RNAcentral describes it as "lncRNA (ENSAPLG00000020457.1)". Lineage: Eukaryota; Metazoa; Chordata; Aves; Anseriformes; Anatidae. The record is from RNAcentral.
GAACAUCUGAACGGGUAAAGGCUUCACAGCCUUGAAAAGCUAUGGCUGACGGGGACUAUAAGAGGGAUCUAUAAAAUCCUGGAUGUCAUGGAGAGGACUGUGUUAAGAGGCAUGAAUCAUUCAGUUCCAUUUACCAAAAGGGCUUUGCUCCUGGAUUUUGUUUCUGUGGAUAUUUGCAGCAGCUACCUCCUGAGCUGCUCCAAGUGGCAGCCAUCUGGAGGAGAAUGCUGCUGCAGCUGCAGUCCUGGUAUUGUGUGCAGGAGCAGGGAGGCUGCCAGCAUUGAGCUCCUUUCUAGGACAAAAACCAUGGUUUCAGGUGUGGAUGCAGCAUGUGCCCCUCUCCUCCUGCUCGCAGCGCUCCCAGAGCAUGGGCAGCCGACCUCACCCCCACGGGGCUGCCUGGGCACCUCCAGCUCAGCCCCGUUCAGUUUGUCUGCUCCUGGCCACUUACGAGAAGCGAUUUAACCCCCAAAUAGUAAUGAUGGAAAAUCAGAUCCUACUUGAGGAUCUAAAGGUAGGCGGGUGGGACUUCACAGCAUGACAGCAGGGCAAGG